AUAUAUUAGGAUAAAAAGCUCUGCCUCCUCCAACAGCGCACUUUAGGGGUGUUUUCUAACGUGCGCUUUUGCCGAUCAUGGCCAGAGGACGGCCGAAAAAGGCAAUUAACAUGGGGAUAACACUAGCCACGAAGUUUCCGGAAGCAACUAACAAAAAUCAGCCAGGUAUUACCCUCCCAGAGGGAAAAACCCCAAAGCAAACCGAGGAGUGGCCAUCACUACCAACUCCAGCAGUUGGGAUUGCUACACCGGCAGCAAGUGAGCAUGCAACAGCAGAAGGGAAAGAAGCGCAAGUGAACGCAGCUAAGCCUAGCUCAAGUUCGCAAGUAAAUGACGAUAAGGCGAAUACCCAAAAAUUUGAAGGUCAACCCCACGCCCAAAGGCGAUUGGAUUUGGAAAAACCUGUGGCGGACACAAAAUUGUGGGCGGGACCUCUUGGAGCUAACACAUACGCCGCAAAAGGGAUGACCUUAAAUUUCAUAGCACAGAAAAUUCAGGACGGGGUUAAAAUAGUUGAGCUGGAUAGGGAUGAAGUGGAAGCAGAAUCAGAGAAAUGGAACAAGGCAAUUAUCUUCUAUGUGGUAGGUGAUUCCCCAACAAAUUGGGGUUGUUGAACGUUUUGUUGCUGCUCAGUGGAAUUUUGUUGCCAAACCAAAGGUUUACUUUCAUAAUGCUGGAUAUUUUCUUAUUUGAUUUAAUAGUAUUGAGGAGAGGAACUCUGUAUUAUACUCUGGGCCUCACACCAUAAAUAACAAACCUAUUAUAAUCAGAGCUUGGUCAGUUGAAUUCAAUUUUAAGGAUGAAAUGCUUAAAACUCUACCACUUUGGGUCAAAUUUCCGAAUCUACCUCUAAAUUGCUGGGGGAUGAAAUCACUAAGCAGAAUUGCGAGUGGGUUGGGUAUUCCACUAUAUGCUGAUGAAUGCACAUCGAAAGUAGAUCGUAUAUCCUAUGCUAGGGUGUUGAGCGAGAUGGAUGUAACCAGGGAACUUCCAGUGUCUGUGAAUGUUCAUGACCCAAAUGGAAAAUGCUUUGGGUAGGAGGUGUGUUAUGACUGGAAACCAGAGUAUUACAGUGCUUGUCUGCGACUUGGACAUUCAUGUAAGGAGAUUGCAAAUAAGAAUCCACUUAAACUACUACCAAAGCAAACAAAACAGAUACUACCAAGGCCUAAACAAUAGUGGAAGCCAAGAGGCAUGAUACAACCUGAGGAGAAGCAAGAUCAACUUCCAAAUACAGAACAAAUGAUUACACUUGGAAAGAUGAAUGAGAAUGCAACAAGUUGUGAACAGGCAAAUGAAAAAGGAUGGACAAUAGUUAAAAGUAAAUCUGCUACAAAGAACAUAACACAUGAUGCUUCUUGUAGUAAUUUAAAUACUGCACAUGGAUUUGAUCCACUAGGUGGAGAAAAAGCAACUCAGCGAAGUAGUAGACCUCAAAGUGUAAUAGAAGCGAGACAGAGUAGUUUGGGUAGAAAGGCUGGCGAUCCACAAUCCCUGCAUAUCCCUACAUGAAACUAAUCACUUGGAAUGUUAGGGGUUUGAAUAAGCUGUAUAAGCAGAAGGAGAUGAAUGAGUUUUUGACGGUGAAUAAAGUCAGUAUAAUAGCUAUAAUUGAACAUAGAGUUACAGAACAAGCAUCAAAGAAGAUUGUUGAUAGAAUAGCACCUUUAUGGAAAUGGAGCAACAACUACAACACCGGGAAACGAGGCAGGAUAUGGAUCUUAUGGAACCCUAACAUAGUUAGCUUCCAGUUAGAAACAGUACAUACUCAAUAUAUAUAUAUGGAAGGGUCUGCUGGCUAGAUAAAUGAAUAUACUUCAGCUUCACUACAACAUAUGGACUUCAUAAUGUUGGUGAUAGAAGGACUUUAUGGAAUAGGCUUAACAAAAUCAGUGGAUUGCAGCAGGAGCCUUGGCUAGUAAUAGGUGACUUCAAUGCAGUAUUAUCAGUAGAUGAUAGAAUAAAUGGCAACCCAAUACAUGAAUCAGAAGUGGUAGACUUUAGAGAAUUUAUGAGAAAUUGCAAUAUGACUAAAUUGAGAAGUGUGGGAAGGGAGUUUACAUAGACAAAUAACAACAUCUACAACAAGAUAGAUAGGGUGUGGUAAAUGUAGAAUGGAUGAAUAAUUUUCCACAAGUGGACGUUGUAGUUUGGAGCCCCUUUUCUCUGACCAUAGCCCUUUGAGUGUCGAAAAUGGUGGAUAAAUCAAAAAGAGGGGCAAAACCUUUCAGAUUCUUCAAUUACCUUGCAGAACAUGAAGACUUUACUGCUUUGGUAGAGGCAGGAUGGCAGGAACCUGUACAGGGGAACUACAUGAAGAGUGUUUGGGAAAAAUUGAAGAAUGUCAAGCAGGAACUUAAGAAGUUGCCUAAUACAUAAAUUAUUGAAAUUCAGAAAAAGUAUGUAACAUUAGGAAACAGCUAGUAGAGGUUCAAGAGCAAAUGAAAGACAUCAAUCAGCAUAGUAUUUUGGUAAAUCAGGAAAAGAAAUUAAGAGAGCAGCUGGAGAAAUGAGUGAAUACAGAGGAAAGUGCAGCUAAGCAAAAAUCAAGAAACCAAUGGUUACAAUUAGGAGACACGAACUCAGCUUAUUUCUUUGCCUCAGCAAAAAGUAGAAUGGCACAAAAUAAAAUUAGAAAUCUUGUAUCUAGCAAUGGAGAUAUGCUGCAGACAAAGGAUGAUAUCAGGAAAGAAAUAAUAGGCUUCUAUAAGCAAUUGCUAGGAUCAGCAGCAAAUCAUUUGCAUGCCAUAAAUCCUGAGAUAAUGAAGGAAGGUCAGAUCUUGAAUAGAGACAUGCAGCUGAUAUUGAUAGAACCCGUGACCAGGCAAGAGAUAAUGGAAGCAUUGAGGGACAUUGAUGACCAGAAAGCACCGGGGUGCGAUGGUUUUAACUGCCUAUUUUGCAAGAAGGCUUGGAAUACAAUAGGAGAGGAGAUAACUGAAGCAAUAUUACACUUUUUCUCAACAAAUGACAUGCACAAGCCUAUAAACUGCACCUACCAUCAAACUGCACCUCAGUCACCUUGAUUCCAAAAGUCAAGAGCCCAUCUACCAUCAAACAAUUUAGACCCAUCUCCUAUUGUACAGUUUUGUACAAAAUCAUAUCCAAAGUGCUCACAAAAAGACUUCAAAGUGUCAUAGAUCAUCUCAUUGACAAAAGUCAAUCUGCUUUCGUCCCUGGGAGGGUUAUCUAUGACAAUAUCAUUCUUAGCCAUGAGCUAAUUAAGGGAUAUGAUAGAAAGAGUGUCUCACCUAGAUGCAUGUUGAAUAUAGAUAUGCAAAAAGCAUAUGACUCGGUGGAGUGGACUUUCUUAGAACAAGUACUAAACUUCCUUGCCAAAUAUGUCGACUGGAUUAUGAUUUGUAUGACCAAUGUCUCUUAUUCCAUUCUGAUCAACAGGAUUCCAAGUCCCCCUUUUCCUGCAAAGAAAGGCCCGAGACAGGGUGAUCCAUUAUCCCCUUUCCUCUUUGUUUUGACGAUGGAGUACCUUAAUAGACAUUUGAGGACUCUGAGGCAUAAUCCUGAUUUCAACUAUCACCCUAAAUGUUCAAAACUUCAAAUAAUUCAGCUAGGUUUUGCAGAUGACCUACUGUUAUUUUGUAGAGGGGAUGUGAUUUCUGUACAACUAUUAUUCGGGUGUUUCUCUGAAUUCUCUAUGUGUUCUGGGUUGAUUGCAAAUAUUGAAAAGAGCUCUAUAUUUUUUGGUGGCAUUGGAAGGGAGGAGCAGAAUGAAAUCAUGAAUAUUUUGGGAUACUCUAAAGGGGAGUUGCCCAUCAAGUACCUUGAGGUACCACUGAGUUCAAAGAGACUGUCAGUUACUCAAUGUUACCCUCUGGUGGACAAGAUGAUUGGAAGAAUAACUUCAUGGACCGCAAAAUACCUUUCUUAUGCAGGCAAGCUACAAUUAAUUAAGAAUGUGUUAUUCUGUAUUCAAGCCUUCUGGUCUCAUGUUUUUAUACUCCCUAAGAAGAUAGUACACAUGAUAGAGACAGCAUGUAGAAGUUUCUUAUGGGCAGGGCAAGCAGAGGUCACAAAGAAAGCACCUUUAGCCUGGGAGAAAGUAUGUUGCUCAAAAACUGCAGGAGGAUUCAAUGUCAUUCAUAUAGAAACAUGGAACAAAGCUGCAGUGAGUAAAUUGCUGUGGAAUCUGUGCACAAAAAGGACAAAUUAUGGGUAAAGUGGAUCCAUAUUUACUAUGGGAAAGGAAGGAAUAUUUGGGAGAUUGAGGCAAAACAGGCAUCUUGGAUCCUGUCGAUCCUAAGGCAAAGAAGUACAUUAUUGAGGCUGGAUUGGAGCUGAACGACAUACAAGAAAUGAAUUACUUCCCUAUCAAAUUGAUGUAUCAGAAGCUGAGAGGUGUGCAACCUAAAGUUCCAUGGAAGAAAUUGGUAUGUAACAAUUAUGCCACUCCUAGAUGGGUUUUCAUAUUAAAUCUAGCAAUUCAAGGCAGAUUAACUACUAAGGAGAGAUUAUUACGAUGGGGAAUGCAAGUUAAGAAGGAAUGUGUAUUAUGUGGUUGGGCAGAUGAGACGACUAGUCACCUGUUUUUUGAACGCAUUUUUUCAAAAGAAAUCCGGCAAAGGCUGCUGAACUGGCAAGGUAUUAAUAAACAUGUGAAGAUAUGGGAAGAUGAGAUUCACUGGGAAACUACAGAAAUGAAGGGUAAGAACUCAAUUGAUGAAAUCUUUAGAAUGACAAUAGCUGGUGCGGUGUAUUACAUUUGGCAAGAGAGGAACCUAAGGCUAUUCCAAAACAAGCAGCGGAAUGUGAUAUCUAUCCUCAAGGAGGUGGUGCAGGAUCUGUUUGUGAGAGGAGGCAAGAAAUACAAGCUAGCCAGUAGACUCAGACUUAAAUUUCUAUCCAUAGUGAGCAGAAGAGAUAGGGGUUGAGAAGUACGCUAGGCAUUGGGGCCUUCUGUCCAAUAGCCUAGUUACUAGGAGUAAAUGAGUUGUCUUUUUCUUUCUUCUAGCGAU
Molecule: long non-coding RNA, 4973 nt
Filed under: Nicotiana tabacum (common tobacco)
Lineage: Eukaryota; Viridiplantae; Streptophyta; Magnoliopsida; Solanales; Solanaceae
Description: long non-coding RNA (NTAB_LNC000410)
Source: RNAcentral